CAUCGGCAGCUAUACAUGCAGUCGAGCGGACAGAAGGGAGCUUGCUCCCGGAUGUUAGCGGCGGACGGGUGAGUAACACGUGGGUAACCUGCCUGUAAGACUGGGAUAACUCCGGGAAACCGGAGCUAAUACCGGAUAGUUCCUUGAACCGCAUGGUUCAAGGAUGAAAGACGGUUUCGGCUGUCACUUACAGAUGGACCCGCGGCGCAUUAGCUAGUUGGUGGGGUAAUGGCUCACCAAGGCGACGAUGCGUAGCCGACCUGAGAGGGUGAUCGGCCACACUGGGACUGAGACACGGCCCAGACUCCUACGGGAGGCAGCAGUAGGGAAUCUUCCGCAAUGGACGAAAGUCUGACGGAGCAACGCCGCGUGAGUGAUGAAGGUUUUCGGAUCGUAAAGCUCUGUUGUUAGGGAAGAACAAGUGCGAGAGUAACUGCUCGCACCUUGACGGUACCUAACCAGAAAGCCACGGCUAACUACGUGCCAGCAGCCGCGGUAAUACGUAGGUGGCAAGCGUUGUCCGGAAUUAUUGGGCGUAAAGGGCUCGCAGGCGGUUUCUUAAGUCUGAUGUGAAAGCCCCCGGCUCAACCGGGGAGGGUCAUUGGAAACUGGGAAACUUGAGUGCAGAAGAGGAGAGUGGAAUUCCACGUGUAGCGGUGAAAUGCGUAGAGAUGUGGAGGAACACCAGUGGCGAAGGCGACUCUCUGGUCUGUAACUGACGCUGAGGAGCGAAAGCGUGGGGAGCGAACAGGAUUAGAUACCCUGGUAGUCCACGCCGUAAACGAUGAGUGCUAAGUGUUAGGGGGUUUCCGCCCCUUAGUGCUGCAGCUAACGCAUUAAGCACUCCGCCUGGGGAGUACGGUCGCAAGACUGAAACUCAAAGGAAUUGACGGGGGCCCGCACAAGCGGUGGAGCAUGUGGUUUAAUUCGAAGCAACGCGAAGAACCCUUACCAGGUCUUGACAUCCUCUGACAACCCUAGAGAUAGGGCUUUCCCUUCGGGGACAGAGUGACAGUGGUGCAUGGUUGUCGUCAGCUCGUGUCGUGAGAUGUUGGGUUAAGUCCCCGCACGAGCGCAACCAUGAUCUUAGUUUGCCAAGCAAUCCAGUGGUACCUCUAGGUGACUGCCGGUGACAAACCGGAAGGAAAGGUG
RNAcentral lists this ribosomal RNA (1152 nucleotides) under Bacillus safensis. RNAcentral's name for it is "bacterial SSU rRNA". It matches the Rfam family "Bacterial small subunit ribosomal RNA", at positions 37 to 1176 of the family's 1533-position model. Lineage: Bacteria; Bacillati; Bacillota; Bacilli; Caryophanales; Bacillaceae. The record is from RNAcentral.